Molecule: ribosomal RNA, 354 nt
Filed under: uncultured bacterium
Lineage: Bacteria
Description: bacterial SSU rRNA
Rfam family: Bacterial small subunit ribosomal RNA
Source: RNAcentral
AGAGUUUGAUCCUGGCUCAGAUUGAACGCUGGCGGCAUGCUUUACACAUGCAAGUCGAACGGCAGCACAGGGGAGCUUGCUCCCGGGUGGCGAGUGGCGCACGGGGUGAGUAAUACAUCGGAACGUGUCCUGUUGUGGGGGAUAACCUGCUCGAAAGGGUGGCUAAUACCGCAUGAGACCUGAGGGUGAAAGCGGGGGAUCGCAAGACCUCGCGCAAUUGGAGCGGCCGAUGCCCGAUUAGCUAGUUGGUGAGGUAAAGGCUCACCAAGGGCGACCGAUCGGUAGCUGGUCUGAGGAGGACGACCAGCCACCACUGGGACUGAGACACGGCCCAGACUCCUACGGGAGGCAGCA